Capsicum annuum is the source of this 504-nucleotide long non-coding RNA. RefSeq lists it as uncharacterized. The record is from RefSeq and is a predicted model, not a curated record. The transcript has 3 exons. Lineage: Eukaryota; Viridiplantae; Streptophyta; Magnoliopsida; Solanales; Solanaceae.
AGUGAAGUGUUUCCAAGAGCAGACGACGUACUCCAUCUUCCUUACUUCUCCGUUUCUUCAUCUUGCACAACAAAAAGAAGAUCAGGUGGGGAUUAUAAAUCUAUGAAGAAAUUCCUAUGGGAGGGAGGAAUAUCAUCGUGAUCCUAAGCUAGUCUUCAUUCGAGAAUUUCUUAAAUUUUAUCAAAAAACCAAGUUGGGGUUGGUCCCAAAAAGUUAGUGGGUUAGCUAUCGGAUAUCUUAAACUGGUGAUUCGAAGGAUACGGGCUCGAAAUACUAUCGCAGCUAGUAAAACAAUAAGGAUCAGAUCCUUAGGAUAGCAGACGUUCACGUUAGGCCCUAUUUCCAUUUUCAUCUAAUAUUUUGGUGAGCUCCAACUCUCUCUGGAGCCAGUCUAUGUCUAGUAUUUUUUAUUAUAGGUACAGGUCUCUGGUUGGACAUGAUGGGCCUGAUGCCAACUAGUCACUUGUAGUAUAAUGAGUUAAACUGACUAGACACUUCAUGGAC